UACGGAGGGUGCAAGCGUUAAUCGGAAUUACUGGGCGUAAAGCGCACGUAGGCGGUCUGCCAAGCCAGAUGUGAAAUCCCCGGGCUCAACCUGGGAACUGCAUUUGAAACUGGCAGGCUUGAGUCUUGUAGAGGGGGGUAGAAUUCCAGGUGUAGCGGUGAAAUGCGUAGAGAUCAGGAGGAAUACCGGUGGCGAAGGCGGCCCCCUGGACAAAGGCUGACGCUGAGGUGCGAAAGCGUGGGGAGCAAACAGG
This 253-nucleotide ribosomal RNA is filed under the name uncultured bacterium. RNAcentral describes it as "partial 16S ribosomal RNA". It matches the Rfam family "Bacterial small subunit ribosomal RNA", at positions 524 to 776 of the family's 1533-position model. The record is from RNAcentral.